Molecule: ribosomal RNA, 238 nt
Filed under: uncultured bacterium
Lineage: Bacteria
Description: partial 16S ribosomal RNA
Rfam family: Bacterial small subunit ribosomal RNA
Source: RNAcentral
UGAGCAAUCUGCCCUUCUCAUCGGAAUAAGCGUUGGAAACGACGUCUAAUGCCGAAUACGACCUCCUUUCGCAUGAUCGGAGGUGGAAAGCUCCGGCGGAGAAGGAUGAGCUCGCGGCCUAUCAGCUAGUUGGUGUGGGUAAUGGCCCACCAAGGCGACGACGGGUAGCCGGCCUGAGAGGGUGACCGGCCACGACCGGGACUGAGACACGGCCCAGACCUCCGUACGGGAGGNAGCG